Molecule: long non-coding RNA, 2569 nt
Filed under: Accipiter nisus (Eurasian sparrowhawk)
Lineage: Eukaryota; Metazoa; Chordata; Aves; Accipitriformes; Accipitridae
Description: lncRNA (ENSANIG00000017209.1)
Source: RNAcentral
CCCCCCCCCCCCCCCCCGGGUUGUGUUUUCUUUUUGGGGGGGGGGGGGGGGGGGCGGGGGCCCCCCCGCCCCCCCCCCCCCCCCCCCCCCCCCCCCCCCGCCCCCAUCCCCCUCGUUUUUAUUCUCGGGUGAGAAACUCAGCGGGGAACAGAGAUUGGGGCGGGAGGGGGGUGAAGCCGCCGAGGGACUGCAGGGGCCGCUUGGCACCGGGGAGAGCGGACAAAAGCCGGCGGAACGACGUGGCUUCCAUUCAAAAAGGGGCGCUCCGGGCUCCGGGAGGGCAGCCCCGGCCCGGGGAGGGGGCGGGAGCGGCAGCGGCAGCGGGGCGGCGGCGGCGGGCAGCCCGGCGGCGGGGGCGUUUGGCGAUGGGCGCCGGCGGGGAGCGGGACCGGCGGGGGAGCGGGGGAGCGGGGAGCCCCCGGCCGCCGGCGGUUGGGGACGGCAGCGGCUGAAACGGCGGCCCAAAGGCAGCCCGGACGCCACGAUGAGGGGCAUCCCGGGCUUCAAGCGGCUGCGGCUCAAAAUCUGGCGGCGAUGCACCCUGCUGCUCCUCCUCCUCCUCUGGGCUGCCUGCUGGCUGGUGGUGAGCGCCUUGCUCUUCCUCCUCCACAGGAGCGUCUUCUCCGAGCGCUGCACGGACGAGAAGAGCCGCCGGAUCCUGGCCAGGCUGGAAGAGAAGCCAUAGGCGGCGGUGCUGACAGCGCGGUUCUAAUGGCAGCAAGGUCCAGUUUCUUCACCCCAGCAGUCAGCUUGACGUACAGCUGGGCUUGGGAUUGAAGCUGAAGGAGUGAAUCCUGCCUGCUCCUCACGUGGCUGGGAAGAGCACAGGGGUCUGGAGGUGCAAGGAGCCACCGAGCUCGGGGAGGUCCAGGCCCUUGCCAUCACACUCGGAUGUGUAAACGGACAGAGACUUGUCGCUGUUCUUCAGUCUGGAGAGCGUUAGGCAUGACUUCAAAAGCUCGGGUGGGGAUCAGAUUUCAGGCACAAGGCUGGAAAGUUGUCUCUGUCACUGGGGCAUAGCUCAGAUUCAGAGCCUCCUUCCAGAGGAAGGGUAGCUGAGAUCGCUGCGCUCGUCUGUUUCUGUAGGCGAGUCUUCAGGAGUAUCGUUAAGGUUUGUAAGCGACAGUUGUCCCGAAUGAAGUUAGAAAGGGGUCGUCCUUCUAGUGGAACGAUUAGAAAAUGAGUUCGUCUUCAUCAGCCCUGAAAUAAGUCUUUAUUCAUCUUCGGAGCAUGGCAUGAGUUUUGCAGUUAUAGAAAGUGCAAUUGAUCUAUGAAACAAAUAAUCUUAUAGCUUGAGUCUCACGGCUUUUAUUGAGCAAAAUUUGACUUGCGAGAAAAACUGUUUUGCUAGUCAUCUCUCAUAUUUUCAGUAGGAGAUAAGAUGAGCUAUUUUAAGCAAGUGGGUGAAAACUACACGGUUGUAUACCCUUGCGAGUGGCAUUUCUGAAGGCUUAUUUCCUUCUUCUGAGCAAAAUAUGCAUCUCUGCAGAUGUGUACUGCACUGGGAAGGCUGAAGUAGCGCUGGACAUUUUGAAGAGACCCAUUUUAACUCUCAAAAAACCCCACUUACUCUUUCUUAACACGGGUCUCAUCUUCAUUUACACUGAACACACUAAAUCAUAGCAAUCAAUUUCUCUUUUCUCUGGAGAAAUCAAUUAAUUUUGAUGCCUUCCAAAACCCUGCUGAGUAUUGCAUUUACAGAGAAGUACUUGAUAACAAGGCAGGACUCAGUCUCAGGCCUGAUCUACACAAAAGUGAUGGUGGUACAGUAAGUUGUUUAAAUUUAUAUAAAUCCCUAGUGGGGUUUAUGUUAAUUUAAACUUUUACAGCAAUUUAACCCCAGCUUUUUUAACUUAUCUUGAUAAGUGUACUAAGGAUAUUAAAAAUUAUGUAGCCAAUUUUAAACCGAAACAGAUGAGUGAGCUCAGACCAUGCUUGUGUUUGCAUUUCUGUGUAGUAUAGCUGCUUUUCUGUAAGGCUUUUGGCUUAGUAUCACUUUCAUAUUUUAGUUUAAAAAAUCUGGCACUUAGUGGCAUACAAAGGGCGCUCAUUAGGUAGAUUUAAAACUGUCUCAUCGACAGAUCUCAAAAUGCAGUCAUUAAGACAGGGAUGGGAGUGUGGAGGACCCUUUCUGGAAGAUUUCUUUGGGGAAUUGAUUCUUCUUUUUACCAGCAGUCAUCGUGACAAUAUAAAAUCUUGUAUGGCGAAGUCUGCAGUUCGUGCAAAGGUUCCUGGGUCGGAAAAUAAUAAAUAGACCAUCUUUUCAUGGCAGGGUAAUCUGAAUCACCUGGUUAAAUGUUUUCAGUCCACCAAAAUGUGUUUUAAUACAGUAAAAUGCAAGAUAGUACACUGGGGUGUACACAAGAGUACAAGCUGUGCCAAUAGGAUGGAAGAGUGUCUUGUAAAACUGUAUGACUUUGGAAAGGACGUAGGGGUCAAAUAAUUGCUUCAACAUGAACUACCAGUGCAGACUGUGCCUAGAAGGCCAAUACAAUCCCUGAAUGUCUCCCAAAAAGAGAAUUGGGGAAGGGCUGUUGGCUGUCUUUGCGGCACUGGACAACAGCAUUCA